UGGGGAAUAUUGCACAAUGGGCGAAAGCCUGAUGCAGCAACGCCGCGUGAGUGAUGAAGGCCUUCGGGUUGUAAAGCUCUGUCUUUUGGGACGAUAAUGACGGUACCAAAGGAGGAAGCCACGGCUAACUACGUGCCAGCAGCCGCGGUAAUACGUAGGUGGCAAGCGUUGUCCGGAUUUACUGGGCGUAAAGGAUGCGUAGGCGGAUUUUUAAGUGAGAUGUGAAAACCCUAGCUUAACUUGGGGACUGCAUUUCAUACUGGAAAUCUAGAGUGCGGGAGAGGAGAAUGGAAUUCCUAGUGUAGCGGUGAAAUGCGUAGAGAUUAGGAAGAACACCAGUGGCGAAGGCGAUUCUCUGGACCGUAACUGACGCUGAGGCAUGAAAGCGUGGGUAGCAAACAGGAUUAGAUACCCUGGUAGUCCACGCCGUAAACGAUGAGUACUAGGUGUAGGAGGUAUCGACCCCUUCUGUGCCGCAGUUAACACAAUAAGUACUCCGCCUGGGAAGUACGAUCGCAAGAUU
Molecule: ribosomal RNA, 523 nt
Filed under: uncultured bacterium
Lineage: Bacteria
Description: partial 16S ribosomal RNA
Rfam family: Bacterial small subunit ribosomal RNA
Source: RNAcentral